UAAGCGGGAAACUUGCCUCAAGAUGAGAUCUCACUGGGAACUUGAUUCCCCUGAAGGGCCGUCGAAGACUACGACGUUGAUAGGCUGGGUGUGUAAGCGUUGUGAGGCGUUGAGCUAACCAGUACUAAUUGCCCGUGAGGCUUGACCAUAUAACACCCAAACA
This 163-nucleotide ribosomal RNA is filed under the name Pseudomonas aeruginosa. RNAcentral describes it as "partial 23S ribosomal RNA". It matches the Rfam family "Bacterial large subunit ribosomal RNA", at positions 2782 to 2925 of the family's 2925-position model. The record is from RNAcentral. Lineage: Bacteria; Pseudomonadati; Pseudomonadota; Gammaproteobacteria; Pseudomonadales; Pseudomonadaceae.